This 407-nucleotide ribosomal RNA is filed under the name uncultured bacterium. RNAcentral describes it as "partial 16S ribosomal RNA". It matches the Rfam family "Bacterial small subunit ribosomal RNA", at positions 30 to 526 of the family's 1533-position model. The record is from RNAcentral.
AUUGAACGCUGGCGGCAGGCCUAACACAUGCAAGUCGAGCGGCUCGGCGGACGGGUGAGGAAUGCCUAGGAAUCUGCCUGGUCGUGGGGGAUAACGUUCGGAAACGGGCGCUAAUACCGCAUCCUAUCAGAUUAGCCUAUGUCGGAUUAGCUAGUUGGGGGGGUAAGGGCCACCCAAGGCGACGAUCCGUAACUGGUCUGAGAGGAUGAUCAGUCACACUGGAACUGAGACACGGUCCAGACUCCUACGGGAGGCAGCAGUGGGGAAUAUUGGACAAUGGGCGAAAGCCUGAUCCAGCCAUGCCGCGUGUGUGAAGAAGGUCUUCGGAUUGUAAAGCACUUUCAGUUGGGAGGCGUUACCAACAGAAUAAGCACCGGCUAACUUCGUGCCAGCCGCCGCGGUAAUAC